CUCAAACCCCCGUCCUAUCAAACUCACCCUAGCCCCUCUGAAACCCUAGCCUUCUCCCACCGUCUUCCGCCAUGUUUCAACGGAAUCCAUGGCAUCCUCAAGCCCUGGGUGACCUGUACUCACCUUCACGUGCUUUGUUACACAUGCCACUAGAAGCUUCAAGGUCUGACCUUGAAGGUUUCCGCUCAGAUCGUCGCCGAUUUAAGUUUUAUGGCCAUCUCCGGCAUGUCCUGGUCCUAUGAGCCUAUCUCUGGCUCACCUGGCUCAGAGCAGGCCCUUUUCUAGGUCUUUCUCACUUCUAGGGUUCUUUUGAAACUCUAGCCCUUUGAGGUUUUCCUAUAUUUCACUAGAUCCACUCUAGAUCCAUGCUUGUUUUAAGGUUCUCAAAACAAUUUCUUAAAUCUCUUUCAAAAGUUUUUUUUUCAAAACUAUUCAUCUUCUCCGAUUUAGGGUUUCUUUGAUUUUUACUCGUUCUAAUAUGAAUUUAUGUCGUGUUCUUCUGUAUUCGUCUUACUGUGUCUCAUGUUUGUUUCUACUUUGACUCCUAUGUGUUUUUUCUACUAUGUUUCCUCCUAAUGUUUCCUUCUAUAUUUUCUAUUACUGUGUUUUCCCUCAACAUGUUUUCACGGAAUAAUUAAUUUCCUUUGGGUUUUCUAAGUUUGCUCUUGCUUGAUUUUUUCGUUUUCGUCACUACACUAGACUAAUGACGAAAACCUUAGAAUUUGGGGGUUUUCAGACCACGUGUACGUGACUUGCAUGUUCUCACCUCUGAACUAGUUUGAUUUCAAUUUCUGAAUGUCAUCUCUGUUUUCAUAUGGUUCUGACCUUUUUGCCUAAAGCUAGAUUUUCCUUCUUUUAUGUUUGAAGUGUUCGUAUGCUCCUUAUAUACUUUGAAUUUCCCCCUAAAAUGGUCUUUCAAAUUUGCAAUUAGUUAAAAAAUUCUGCUGCAUACAACUUGAUUUAUUUGUUUCCAUUUUUUCCCCUGACUCGACCUAAGUAAAACCCUUCUCCUUUUCAGACUGGAUUCAUUCCUAUAAAAAUAUCAGACCUUUGAUUUACUAUUUGUUAAUUGUUUUUCUUACCUUAUUUGCACAAACCGUGUAUUUAAAUUUUUUUUUCCUUAAAUAACUUUUAUGUAUUCGCCCUUAUUUGUAUACUAUGCACGUUUUGUUUAUUUGAUCCCCUUUCCUUAAAUAUUUUUUAUCCUUUUCUGAUCAAAUUGGGAUUCCUUAAUUAAAGGAACCUCUGUUAAUUGAUUGAUCUUGAUUGAUAAUCGACUAAUUUUCUUUCCUUGCUUGAUGUCUUAUUUCAAUUAUAUACAUGUUCUUUUUCUCACUUCAUCAUCGAAUUUUGACUGCAAAUCAAAAUCAGAAUUCAUCUCUCUGUCUUCUAUACUACUACUAUUACUACUUUUUCUUUCUCACUACUAUUAAGCAUUCCACAUCUGUAUUUCCUGUUGUAUGAAUUUCUAAGCACUUGGGGAGUUUACUUGAGUCCGUUCCUGUUGUUCCUGGAUGCUUGUUUGCCGUUAGUAUUCUGAUGUUCUAGAAUUUAUAACUGGUAUGUUCUUCUAUGUUAAAUAGCAUCCUUGUUCAACUUCUCUGCUUCUACCCCUCUUUUUUUGUGUGUUUAUUUAUGCUUUCCUGCACUCUGUAAUGACCUUUGAGCAUGCUAUGUGUCAUAUGUUAUGAUUAAUACCUUCCCUCUAUUCCCUUUGAAUGUGAGUAUUGUUCUGGAUCAUAUCAGCACUAUUUAAUUACUGUUUGUGAACCAGAACUAGACUUUACUGAGUCUUUACUCAAUCGCUUUCCCAUUCCCUUUCUCUUCAAUGUGCUGAGCUCUAAUUUGGGUCUGUUGGUGUCCUGAUCACUAUUCAGACAUGAGUUUGACUCUAUAAGAGUCUGCUCUUAUUUGUUUGAACCUGAGCAAGAGGUAGGGGUGUGCCAGUCUAUGUCAUGGCUUGGUAUGACCACCUCCUACUAAGGUUCCUCUCUCACUUUACACCUACUCCUAGCUCUUAUGUUCUACCCCUUCUGGUAAACCUUGCUUAGGGACCCUAGAGCUCCCCCUGAACUUGGAUGCCUAAGGGCUGGUAAUUCCACACAUUGCACUACUCUGUUACCACAUUCACUCUUUUGGGUGUAAGCAUUACCUGGGCUCUCGAAGCUCCUUGGAACUUUGAAACACUUUAAGAGAAGGUCUUGGAAUCUGGAACCCGGAUUUGGUAAAACACAUGUAUUGGAUAUCAAGAAUGCAUUAGGAAAUUUGGAUAUAGCUGUGGGCUAUGAUGUAUUUUAUUUUUGCUUUUGGCUCUGUAAUAAUAACUUUGUAAUAACACUUGGGGAAUAUAGAAGUAAAAUGUAUGGGAGGGGUUUUUUAGUUGUGUACAUGUCAAAGGGUAGAAAUCAUGCCUAUAGGACUUUUACUACUUUAAAUCGCCUAGAAAUCAUGCCUAUAAGAUUUAAUACUUUGAAUCGCCUAGAUAUCAUGCAUAUAGGGCUUUUACUACUUUGAAUCACUUAAAUAUCACGUCUAUAGGUUAUUUUAACAUUUGAAUUACCUAGAGAUCAUGUCCAUAGGCUUGCAUUUUUCUUCAUUCAAGCAUAUAGAAAUCAUGCCAAUAGAAUUGCAAUAAUAAUAGGCAAACAAUAGGGUAACACAAAUAUCGCCUGCCUGAAAUGUUUAAAAUAGCAUUAAAAAUCGGAAUAGAUAUCUUGCCUAUAGGAUCUCAAAACUCGCUUAAGUCGUAUAAUCAGUAAUCUGGCAAUUAUUUCAAUUUUUUCAUCCAAUCUGUCUGCAACUCUAAGAACUUGUAUUUCUAUCGCUAAAAUCAUUUUCGAACUCCCCAUCUGAAUUUUUAUUCAUGAGGUUACUUUCCAACAGUUUUCAAAGUCUCGCCUUUUUUAUGAACACUUCACUUCUGAAACUCUGCUGUACAUUUCUUUAAACAAUCCCAUCGAACUCCUGCAACUUCUGCUUCUUACAAAACUUGUGUAUGUUAGUCCUUAAUUAACAAUUUGGUAAAAUACUCCAGAUCCUAACAAUUGUAUCCAAGUUGCCUAAUGUAGACCUUUUAUCUAAUUAUAUGUGUUAACUGAUUCGUCCACCACUUAUUUUUAAUUUAAGACCUAAACAGUAUAUGCAAGGCAUGCUAACUAUAUGUUGUCUGUUUAAAAGGGGUUUCUUUGAGCCUUGGUUUGUCUUCUUGUUCUUUCCCUUACUUGGUAUCUGUUUUGAAUGACGAACUAGACUUUUAUCCUUUGAAACUCCAUGCAAACCCCCAUCCCUUUCUUCCCCUUUUAGGAUUAGAAGUCCUAAUAUCCCGGGACUAAUAGGUUGAGGCCGGUACUAGCAUGCAAUAAGUAAAACGAGACUAGUCGCGUUUAAAUACCUUAACGGGGUGGUAAGGGUAGAAUAUGGAUAUGAUGACUGGUGCGCUAAUAUCUCGUGUGAGAAUGAUUGCUGGGUGCUCACCUUGAGCAAACGUUGCUGAGAUUUCGAGAGGAAUUGGACCAAGUUUGGAACCUGGCAAGCCUGUCAAUCAGUCUUGCCACUCCUUAUGUUAACACCCAGAGCCCUGCACCUCAACAAAAUAUCCCGCAACCACCAAUGCAACCCACUCAUGCCCAAGCCUGUAACAAUCCUUUCUUCUUCUUUAUUAAUGCUUUAUCUCAGAUUAAUGUUUUCAACCAAAACUCCUCUUUUCAAAACAACUUGUGUCUUUCUUCUUUCAAAAUUUUCAACUUGCUAUGUUUCCUAUGUGCAAACUUUGGUUGUUUACUCCUCCUCUUCUUAAAGUCACAAUUAGGCACGGCAAAAAACCACACUAGGGGAUCUUGAGGGGUGCCUAACACCUUCCCCACGAGAUAAUCUCAAGCCCUUACCCGAACUAUGGUUUUCUUUCAAAAUCCUUUUCUUUUCUUUUAAAGUGUCCUAACGCACUAUAAUCAUUAGGUGGAAACUCUCCAAAAUCCAUAACCUAAUUUCCCCGAAAGGGGAUAAAAGAGUCAUUCGACCUAUAAUGUCGAAACCCUCUUUUCUCCCUUAAGAAAAUGGGAGCGUCGACAACAUGGCGACUCUGCUGGGGAAUUUUAAGGCUUUUACCAUUACGUGAUCUUGUGACUUUAUUGCUUCCUUAAUUGUUUUUAUUUCACACCUUUAAUUAUUUUAUCAUGAUUACCGACUUGAUUCUUCAUAUCUUUCCUUUCCUUUAACCGCCUUUCUUUACUGCUUUGUUACCAUUUCGAUACCGUUAUAAUUUUUGAGCAUUUACUUUAAUCUUUACUAUAUGAACGUGAAAAUACGUGUAAUUUGCUUCAUUUUUGUAGCUGCAUCUUCAAACAUCAUAUUCCACUUGGGUCAAAACAAAUCCUAUAGAAACGCUUAUAGUGAGUGGUUGCGCCCUUCCGAUAUUAUAACCCGUAAAUGUGGAAAAGGUAUAUUUGCGGAAAAACCAGUCGAUCAACGGUGUAGUUGACGGUUCCGUGCCUUUCCCUCUUGAGUUGUCUGCUCAAGGGUACCUUGUCUAGAACUUUAAAAAGAUAAACCUUACUCUAUUAAACUGUUCAUGCGUUAUGGUCAAACUUAGCCGAGUCAGUUAUGUCAUCCGCAUAAUGACUCAUUAAGAUAGCCUAGUCCAAAGUCCAUCGGGUUUUCCUGAAACCCAAACGGACACCCCCAUGUUAUUUGCAUAUAUUUAGAGAACUAAAUGCCUUUAUGUUAAUUAUUGGAAUUAAAUAGUCGAGUCCGAUGAGGGUGAGGUCUUAACCCUUUUGUUUUGCAGGAAAUGAAUGACGA
RNAcentral lists this long non-coding RNA (4797 nucleotides) under Nicotiana benthamiana. Its description in RNAcentral is "long non-coding RNA (NBEN_LNC033949)". The record is from RNAcentral. Lineage: Eukaryota; Viridiplantae; Streptophyta; Magnoliopsida; Solanales; Solanaceae.